This is an RNA transcript of Myxocyprinus asiaticus (Chinese sucker), 2940 nucleotides long. It is a transcript of the gene named beta-crystallin A1-2-like, with no coding region annotated. The transcript has 6 exons. Lineage: Eukaryota; Metazoa; Chordata; Actinopteri; Cypriniformes; Catostomidae. The record is from RefSeq and is a predicted model, not a curated record.
CCUCUCAGUCUGUGGUCAAACCUAUCAGUUUCAGAGUUGCGACCAGCAUUCAGCUGUGGUGGCAGUGUAAAAUUAAGGCGCCAAAUAUUCAUAAAACUCCUCGCAACAAGGGACUAACGCAUAACAUUGUAAAGUAGGAUAUGUGGAGAUUCAGGUAAGACAGAGUCACCAAGAUUCAAACAACCCCAUCAAUGUCUGGGAUAGACAUGGCUCCUUGCUUCAAGGUGACUGUAUUCGAGCAGGAGCAUUUCCAAAGCAAGUGUCAGGAGCUCACCACAGAGUGCUGCAAAAUCCAGGAGCGUGGGUUUGACAAUAUCCGCUCGAUCCGAGUGGAGAGUGGCGCCUGGAUGGGGUAUGAGCACCAUGACUUCCAGUGGCAGCAGUUUGUCUUGGAAAAAAGAGAAUAUCCCCACUGGGAUGCCUACAGCAGCAGUCUGGGCUACCAUGUGGAGAGGAUGAUGUCCUUGCAUCCCAUCUACUGUGCUGCCCAGCUUUUUUGACACAAACACUUCUAAUCACAAAUACAAGGAGUUGUAUGGUUAUCUACGAGAAGGAACUUCCUUGGUCACAGUGUAGAGCUGUGUGAUGACUACCCUUCUCUGCAGGCCAUGGGCUGGGGCAAAACACAUGUGGGCUCCAUGCAUGUGCAGUGUGGCUCGCACACACACACAUAGAGAAGCACAGUGUCUAUUUCAUGCCUCACAUAAUACCUGUUAUGUACUUGUGAACAGUGUUGGGUAAGUUACUCUAAAAAAGUACUUAAUUACUAACUACUAAUUACAUCUUCUACAGUGUAAUUAGAUUACUGUACUAAUUACUCUGUCUGAAAAGUAACUGCAUUACUUAUUACUAAUUACUUUCUAAAACCCUUAUCAACCUCGACCAGAUGGAAAAUACAAUGAUAGACAUGAAACUGUUCUUUUAAUUCUUUCAAAUAAAUCAUAUAAAAUCAAAUAAAUUAUUCAUGAACUGGCCAAAGAAUUUAAGGGGGCAGUGUUAAAUUAGAAAACAUAUAUUUUAACAUUCAAUGUUAAAUUUCGAUUUUAAAUUCACUAUUAUUUUAUAUAGAAUUGUUCUGUAGUCUAUACAGUAUUUAACGCAAUUACAUCAGAAGUAACUGUAUUUAAAUUACUGAAAAAUUAAGAGUAUUCCUUGCUUUCCUUUUUUCAAUGAAAAAGUAAUUUAAUUAUAGUAACUAAUUACUUAGUAAUGCAUUACACCCAACACUGCUUGUGAAUACCACAUCUGUUAUGAAGCAAUGUUUAUAUCAACCUGUCAGAAAAUGUCAGCACUUGAAGCUGAUAAUUUUUUUUAGCUGGUACUAACAGUUGUGAAAAUAGUGUGAUUUAGGCUCUGCAUUCAGAAAUAGUUUAAUUACCUUUGGAAUGCACACCAAAUGUCUGUACAUACAGUACUGUGCAAAAGAUGUUUCACAAAAGCAUUUGUCUUAAGAUGGUUAUUUAUAUCUUAAGCUUUAGUGUGUCAAUAGGAAAUAUAAAUGUUAGACUCCCAAACAUUACUUUUGCAAAUAGAAAAGAUUAGAAUAGAAGAACAGGGAGCCCUGCAACAGAUGUCAUGGCCCCCACAAAGCCCCCCACUGAACAUUGUGUCAGUCUGCGAUUACAUAAAGAGACGGAAGCAAUUGAGACAGCCUAAAUAGAUAGAAGAACUGUGGCGAAUUGAUAACAAACAUGUAUGAUUAGAAAACCUUUUACAUUACAGAACAGGAUAAGUCAUAACUUAGUUUUUGGUGUCCUUAAUGUGAUCUGAGGUGAGAGAGAGAGAGAGAGCAGAUGUGAGUGUGAUUUGUGUUUUAUGGUCCCCAAUCAGUGUGGUGUGUUGUCUUAGGUGGAGAUGUCUUCUGUGUGAGAGUUCUUUGACUUUCCCGGAAGUGAUGCAAACAAUUUUGUGCCAGUCUUACAAUCUGAUGCAAAAAUGUGUGAUUAGAGAUGGCGCUUGUCAGUAAUUUGGCAGAAUGGGGUUGAUGUUAGAUUACUGGACCAUUUGGUAGCAAUGUGUCAACUUCCCGUGUGAUCAUGUUGAAAGACUUACUUUGAAGGAGGGACUGAGCCAUAUUAAGUGACAAGAAUAUCAGAUAGCCCUUUUCCACCGAAAUUGCGAUGGUUCUCGUACCGAGCCUGUGCUCCACUGGUUCACGGCCGGGGCAAUCUGGAGCCUAUCGUAAACCGGCCAUGCUUUUCCACUGACCUGAGAGUCAAACGGUGACGUAACGGGUUACUGUCUACGUGGUAGUUUCACGUGACUACCUCAAACAUAAACAAACAUGGUGUCACAGUGUGUUUGUAUACAGCUUUUAAUGCAAUCCAUCGUUAUUACAUUGCUCAACAAGAUCUAUGCUAAAGACGACAGGUAAUGUAAUUACAUUAUAUUGUAUGAACUAUGGCUUAACUUGCUAAGUUCUGUAAACUGUUACAGUGGAAUCAUUAUUAACAUUGGUGUAGCAGAUGGUUGUAUUUGGAUUUUUGCCAUAGCAUAUAAUAUUACUGAUUGAGAAUCCCACCGUUUUACUUAACAGAUAGCCGCUAUCUUCCAAACUUAGUGAGUAGCUGGUCAAAAAGCCCCUUACAGAACAAAACAAUGCACAAAAUAAGAUGACAACAGUGUAAGGAAAGCUAACAAAGUUGGCAAAUAUAGCAACUUAAUGAGAUCACAGCAAUUCACUGUUUAUCACGAGCAUUACUGGCUGAAUUCAAUGCCCUGGUUAGUUAGCAGGCUGGUCGGUGUCCGAGUCCAAAACAUCGUUACUCUGUCCACUGUCGCUUUUGCGUAUGUCCUUCUUAUGGUCCCCUGUACUCCCUUAAAGGAAUAGUUCACCCAGAAAUAAAAAUUUGCUGAUAAUUUACUCACCCUCAGGCCAUCCAAGAUGUAUAUACAAGAUGUAGUUUCUUUCUUCAUCAAAACAGAAUUUAAGAUUUUUAG